UCUGCUACCAAGUGAGUCCCAGGAAUGGAGCACCGGGGGACCGGCUUGGCAGUAGGUGGCUUUACCCACUGUGCUAGCCUCUCUCCACAUCCCUGGCACACCACAUUGACCACAGCAGGGCCUCCCUGGUAGUUUGACCAGCUUCUCCUGUGAUUUCAAAAUUCAGCUAAGUGCAUUCUGUCUUUACCGAGCCACAUCAAUAAAGCCUUCCUCCUUCCCUGCAUCUCUGUGUUCCCAAGGACUACAGGAACCACCGUAGACGCCAGUGCUGUCUGUUGCAUCAGUGGCUCACUGGGCCAGUAUUUAAAACAAACUCUGGAAGCAACACAGCCUUUCCCUUUUGUAAGUGUAACGUAGUUAAGAAGCCUGGGAGUGUGCAAGGGAUGCCAAAUCUGGAGUGGACAGCCCCGAUGACUUCAGCCCAUUCUCAGUUUCUGAUUACAAUUAGAUUUCCUUUGGCAUCGAAAGACUGUUCAUUUUAGUAAACAGUGCUCUUCCCUAGUAAGAGUGAUAUCUAGCUCCUUGGACCGGGACCUGCUCACUGGUGAGGCAGUGUGCCCAGGCUUCUUCAGAAAGAGCUGAAACGCUGACUUUUGAAGAUGGACACAAGCUCACCAAUCUGCCUCUGCAAAGUGACCCGGCCAGUUGCCAAGCUGAAUGGCCUCUGCUGAGCUGACUGGCUUCGUACUGAGCAUGCCAGGAGAGAGGCAGAAACACAGACCGGGCGAAGACGCACAGGGAGAUGAAACCGAGAUACUGUUUCCACUUCUUCCUACGCUCGCUGUGAUAUGGUAAAUUAUUCGGGGCAGGGAGAAGUCAGCAGAAGGCAGGAAGACAAGGCAGGACAGGCCAGCAGAGGAUAAAAACACGAGAACGCGGUUUUGAAAACAGCCUUUCUCCAAGGCGAAGGCUGACUGACUCAGUGAACAGACUACCCUCCCGUAGAAGCUAAAGAUGACAUGAGUCGCAGAGGACCAUAAUUUGCAAAAAAAAAAAUCAUCGUAUGAAGUAAUUAAUGUAAGCAUGGGUAAGUUUCCAGGAUUAAGACUUUGAUCUGACAAGCAGAAGAAGUGGAGUAAGGCUGGCACGGGUGUGCUGUGGCCUUAAGACUUCAAAUGUUUUUCCAUGCUAGUCAAAAUUUAAUUACUUCUCCCCCACCCUCCGCCACUGACAGUUCCAAAUUAAAAUAAAUGGACCAUGUCGAGACAAAUCUCGGAUGCAUGUAGUGCUUGAGAAAAUGCUGCUGCUCGCCCAUGGACAGCCUGAGACUCUCCUAAUAAAUUCCCUUCCUUCUUCUUGGGAUGGUAAGGGAAUUGAGGGGCAGGGCUUGGUGUUGAAAUAAAGAAACAGGCUCGGAUCUAGUGUGUUUUGCAGGGUUGUUCCCACAGGAAUGCUCUUCUCCUAUAUGUUCUCUGUGCACUGAUCUUACAAGGUUUGGGGGAAGUGGGAUAGACAAAUGCCCUGUGGUCACCCAAUGUAUUAAGCUAAUUCCUUUCUAAGUGCAGGUAGAUUGGUUUUUACUUAGUGACAACCAUCAACUCUGUUAUAGAUUAAUGAGGGUUUGAUAGCCCAGUUGGACCUCGUACGGCCACACAUUUGCUAUCAUUGUAACAGAGGCGGCUCCUUGUCACCUGAGGCAAGGAAGCAAUUCACUCGACAUGAGUCUGUCCUCUUCAAGACGAGGCCUGGGGAGUCCCGGAGACCUGCCUUCUCAUCUCUGCAGCUCUGAAGCAUUUGCUGAGCAUUCCCACCUUCCCAAAACCCAUCGUUUAGAGAACUCGCUUGUCAUUGGCUUCUUGUUUUGAAGUCCCAGUUCCUGGUAUUUUCCUCAGACUCAUUGUACCUCUCAAGACUGAGUGGGAAAGUAUCAGGCAGGCACCAUGGCAGUAAACAGGAAGCCAGUGGCCCCUUGGAACCAUGAAUGCUGCCCUCUGUGUUUGGUCUUGGGAAGUAGAGAUAAGAAGGUACACAAAUUCGGUCAUGUGUCUGUGGCAAUUCAAACAAAUAAUGAGUCUCACAAAUAGGAAACCAUAAGCACUCAGACACACUGGAAUUAAUGAAGAACUCUUUUCCUAGUGAUGCCACUCUGGCUUGAGAAAAUUACCUGGAAGCUUCCGGUAGUCACAGCGAACCAACAGUGAGGAGCGUCUCUGCUGUUCUUGUCAUCAGUUCCUUCUCCAUCCAGAGCUGUUUCAGAAAAUCCGCUCUAGCCUCCUCCAACCUGUCUGUACAGAGGCCAAUUCUACCUUCAUGCUGAGGAUCAAAGCAAGAAUGGGGGAGAAGAAGCCGGACGGUUCCUCACAACUGGAGCCUUCCUUUUGUCCUUGCCUAGACUCCCGAGAAGGCAGGGAGCCACAGGUCCUUCCAUCCCUUGGCUUCUCAUUCCAUCCCUCACAAGCCACUGCCACCCUCCCCUGAGCUCUGAGAGCACAGCUUUGCAUGUCUUCACGACUGGCUGAGUCACCUUUGGACACCAGCAAGGCUGUACCAUGUCUGAGUCGAUCCUGCGUGCUUCUCCACAGGUCCCUUCAAUACACUCUGGAGCACCGCCGCUAUCAGCAGCACGGCAGUUCCUUCCAACUCUAGUGUGAGACACGGUCUGUCCCCAUACCUUUCUAGAAGACCUAGGUGACCUUGUUUCCAUCUAUUCAGUGGACAGUUUGCCUAGUCUUGUGGCAUUGUCAACGUAAUCCUAAAUGCUCUGACACUAGACCUCGAUGAAAACCAAGGUCUCUGUGCUUCGUCACAACAUUGGCUAAUCUCACGACUCCUUGUCUUCUCCCUCAUGUGUUGGGAAUUCUAGUAAUUUGUCCUUCUCUGUGGUUUCUGGAAUUACAGCAACAAUUUCUAAAUCAAAUAAGACAUACUAUGUUGAGAUUUUGACUACAUUCGUAUUGAAUUUAGAGAUUCAAUAUCGUUUCAUUUUUUUUUGUAAUGUUAGCCCAACGACCUAAAACCAUCCUUUCCGUGGACUUCCCAGCUUCCUCUCUGAGCUCUCUUCCGAGACAAUCUUCGAAAGCAUCGCUGUUGCGCCCUCCAUACCUGGGCACGCUGGGCACCCAGGAUCUUCUUUCUGACUCGUGAACCACAAUAAGGCUGUAAGACAGGAACUGAGCUCUUACCUCAUGGUGGAGCUAGCAGGACAGGGUGGAGGCAGUGGAGAUCAGGCAUGGCAGCCACUGAGGUGGCAGGGAGAUGCAGAUCAUGGGGCCAGGCUCGUGGGAUAUCACUAAGUUGGAUGGCCAGCAUGACCAGGUAGCAAGGACGCCAACACCUUAUCUUCACCAACCACUGCCCAUAAGAGCUAACAACAACAGGAAGAGAGCAGGAUACACGGAGAACUCUUAAAACACUGUCCUAAGACCCAACAGCUCUCUGCUAAGCCUAUAAAUGAUGAGUGUGUGGUGCUCACAGCCUCAGGCUGUCUGCCCUUACCCAGGCUGCAUGACUUUCCUUCCUCCAAAGCAGCAAGCCGUUCCUGCAAGCAAACGGCAAAUGUGGGACCUGGGUGUGCACCAGUGAAGAAGGUAUUGUUCGUGGUCACAGUAUCACCCGGAGACGCCUGGGAACCAAACAGCGAUGCUGGUUUGUAUAGAGGGAGCAGAGAUGCUGGUUUGUAUAGAGGGAGCAGAGAUGCUAGGGAGGCCUGUGGGAGGUAAGGGGGUGCCGAGCAAUGCAGGUUAUUUGGUUUUAUUUGUUAGCUUCCUGUCUAAACUGUUGGCUGCAAAAAUUCCCCAAUUACAUUACGUGUCAGGGAACCUUGAUACACCUUAUGAUAUCCCUGGCAGCGUCUAGCUUUACUUAGCUUUUAAGUUGCUUUCCCCAGAAAAGUUUUCUUCAUGGCCUGCAGCACCAUGUCAUUUUGAGGACCAAAAUCUACAGAGUUUGCACUGAGAGGGAGCACACGAAUAGAGAAAGUGACUCCAAGCAGCCUGAGUGAAGACAAGCCCUACAGUGAGCUCCUCUCGGUUCGAGUAUUUUAGAAUUGUUUCUACAAAGAAAAUGUCUC
This 4009-nucleotide small RNA is filed under the name Rattus norvegicus (Norway rat). RNAcentral describes it as "uncharacterized LOC102546303". The record is from RNAcentral. Lineage: Eukaryota; Metazoa; Chordata; Mammalia; Rodentia; Muridae.